UACGAAGGGGGCUAGCGUUGCUCGGAAUUACUGGGCGUAAAGGGAGCGUAGGCGGACAGUUAAGUCAGUGGUGAAAGCCCAGGGCUCAACCCUGGAAUUGCCUUUGAUACUGACUGUCUUGAGUAUGGGAGAGGUAUGCGGAACUCCGAGUGUAGAGGUGAAAUUCGUAGAUAUUCGCAAGAACACCAGUGGCGAAGGCGGCUCACUGGCCCGGUACUGACGCUGAGGUGCGAAAGCGUGGGGAGCGAACAGG
RNAcentral lists this ribosomal RNA (253 nucleotides) under uncultured bacterium. Its description in RNAcentral is "partial 16S ribosomal RNA". It matches the Rfam family "Bacterial small subunit ribosomal RNA", at positions 524 to 776 of the family's 1533-position model. The record is from RNAcentral.